Molecule: unclassified non-coding RNA, 117 nt
Organism: Macaca fascicularis (crab-eating macaque)
Lineage: Eukaryota; Metazoa; Chordata; Mammalia; Primates; Cercopithecidae
Rfam family: Metazoan signal recognition particle RNA
About the family: The signal recognition particle (SRP) is a universally conserved ribonucleoprotein.
Source: Ensembl
GCUGGGCAUGGUGGCUCAUGCCUGUAAUCCCAGCACUUUGGGAGGCUGAGGUGGGAGGAUCACUUGAGGUCAGGAGUUCGAGACCAUCCUGGCCAACAUGGUGAAAACCCAUCUCUA